Non-coding RNA from Caerostris darwini, 88 nucleotides. The record is from the annotation of a GenBank genome assembly. Lineage: Eukaryota; Metazoa; Arthropoda; Arachnida; Araneae; Araneidae.
UACCGGUUCUCGUUAGAUCACCGAAGUCAAGCAUCAUUGGGCGCGGUCAGUACUUGGGUGGGUGACCACCUGGGAACACCGAGCACCG